This 467-nucleotide ribosomal RNA is filed under the name uncultured bacterium. Its description in RNAcentral is "partial 16S ribosomal RNA". It matches the Rfam family "Bacterial small subunit ribosomal RNA", at positions 28 to 523 of the family's 1533-position model. The record is from RNAcentral.
GAUGAAUGCUGGCGGCGUGCCUAACACAUGCAAGUCGAGCGGCAGCGCGAGUAGUUUACUACUUGGCGGCGAGCGGCGGACGGCUGAGUAACGCGUGGGAACGUGCCCCAAAGCGAGGGAUAACGCACCGAAAGGUGUGCUAAUACCGCAUAUGGUCUUCGGAUUAAAGAAUUUAUUCGCUUUGGGAGCGGCCCGCGUCGGAUUAGGUAGUUGGUAGGGUAAUGGCCUACCAAGCCGACGAUCCGUAGCUGGUCUGAGAGGAUGAUCAGCCAGACUGGAACUGAGACACGGUCCAGACUCCUACGGGAGGCAGCAGUGUGGAAUCUUCCACAAUGGGCGAAAGCCUGAUGGAGCAACGCCGCGUGCAGGAUGAAGGCCUUCGGGUUGUAAACUGCUUUUAUAAGUGAAGAAUAUGACGGUAACUUAUGAAUAAGCACCGGCUAACUACGUGCCAGCCGCCGCCGUAA